ACUUAGUCCUACUAAGGUAAUUUUAUACUUCUGUGUCCACCGUGUAACAUUAUAUUAUAAUUUGAAAGUGUCUACAAAGGAAGAAAGGAUGAACUUUUAUGUGUUAUUACAGAAUUCAAGUGAGUAUAAGAGCUUGUAUUUGACUCCCAAUAAAUUUUAUUUUCUCAUAGUUUUUGUUGAAUUUACUCUCUGCUACUACAUGGGUUAGAGACUCCCGGAGAAGAAAUCAUAGUUCAUCUGUGCAGCCAAAAGCCUUAACAUUUUCUUCUGAAGUGUUGUCAGUAUCUUCAGAGAGUGACAAGAAUUGUCCAUAUUUCGAUUUUCUUGCAAAAAAAACUUAUUUUGCACCCUGCUCAGUAAUAAGACCAUAUGUUUGUAAGCACCAGGCAUUGUAGUUACCUCAUUUUGGUAUAAUGUUAUUUCACCAUUUAUAAAGAAUACAUCCCUCAUUAUUUCAAACCCA
Leopardus geoffroyi (Geoffroy's cat) is the source of this 463-nucleotide long non-coding RNA. RefSeq lists it as uncharacterized. NCBI's taxonomy places the organism in Eukaryota, Metazoa, Chordata, Mammalia, Carnivora, Felidae. The record is from RefSeq and is a predicted model, not a curated record. The transcript is spliced from 2 exons.